Molecule: ribosomal RNA, 498 nt
Filed under: uncultured bacterium
Lineage: Bacteria
Description: partial 16S ribosomal RNA
Rfam family: Bacterial small subunit ribosomal RNA
Source: RNAcentral
AUUGAACGCUGGCGGCAUGCCUUACACAUGCAAGUCGAACGGUAACGCGGGGCAACCUGGCGACGAGUGGCGAACGGGUGAGUAAUGCAUCGGAACGUGCCUGGUAGUGGGGGAUAACUGCUCGAAAGAGCAGCUAAUACCGCAUACGACCUGAGGGUGAAAGGGGGGGAUCGCAAGACCUCUCGCUAUCGGAGCGGCCGAUGUCGGAUUAGCUAGUUGGUGGGGUAAAGGCCCACCAAGGCAACGAUCCGUAGCUGGUCUGAGAGGACGACCAGCCACACUGGGACUGAGACACGGCCCAGACUCCUACGGGAGGCAGCAGUGGGGAAUUUUGGACAAUGGACGCAAGUCUGAUCCAGCAAUGCCGCGUGCGGGAAGAAGGCCUUCGGGUUGUAAACCGCUUUUGUCCGGAAAGAAAUGGCUCUGGUUAAUACCUGGGGUCGAUGACGGUACCGGAAGAAUAAGGACCGGCUAACUACGUGCCAGCCGCCGCGGUAA